AGGUCAACGAGAAGAGACUUGCGGUGGGAGGGAUUAGUGGCGUUGGAUUGAAGAGCACGAGGGAAGUAGAGAUUUUCCAUCGCCGAUAGCCUCUCUGUAAUGCUCUCCAUUGCUUCUUUCCUCACUGUUCCCUGCAUUUUGUUUCUCUUUUUUCUGUCCCCCUUCCCUCCACCGGGCUUUCUCUCCGUUCUAUAUUUUUACGCUUC
Molecule: unclassified non-coding RNA, 206 nt
Filed under: Hevea brasiliensis (rubber tree)
Lineage: Eukaryota; Viridiplantae; Streptophyta; Magnoliopsida; Malpighiales; Euphorbiaceae
Source: RNAcentral